UCUGCCCAGUCUUCCAGGCUCAGUCAA
This 27-nucleotide non-coding RNA is filed under the name Homo sapiens (human). Lineage: Eukaryota; Metazoa; Chordata; Mammalia; Primates; Hominidae. The record is from RNAcentral.